UACGAAGGGGGCUAGCGUUGCUCGGAAUCACUGGGCGUAAAGGGUGCGUAGGCGGGUCUUUAAGUCAGGGGUGAAAGCCCGGGGCUCAACUCCGGAAUUGCCUUUAAAACUGCAUCGCUAGAAUUGUGGAGAGGUAAGUGGAAUUCCGAGUGUAGAGGUGAAAUUCGUAGAUAUUCGGAAGAACACCAGUGGCGAAGGCGACUUACUGGACACAUAUUGACGCUGAGGUGCGAAAGCGUGGGGAGCAAACAGG
Molecule: ribosomal RNA, 253 nt
Filed under: uncultured bacterium
Lineage: Bacteria
Description: partial 16S ribosomal RNA
Rfam family: Bacterial small subunit ribosomal RNA
Source: RNAcentral